CCAUCUACCUACAGAGAGUUCGUAUUCACUGGGGAUCUCUUUGGCCCAGCUUAAGCCAGCCAGAUUGGCUGGGCUCAGCUGGGUGGUUCUUCCCUGGGAUCUCUCAUGCAGUGGUGUUUAGCAGUCUUCAGGGAUGCAGUGAUCCGAAAGUUCAGUUGGCCUGGACAUCCAAGAUGGCCCGCUCAACUGGCUGACAGUCAGAGGUGACUGUUCACUGGGAGAAUGCUACUGCAGAAUAUGUUCCACCAGAAUAAGG
Molecule: long non-coding RNA, 256 nt
Organism: Mesoplodon densirostris (Blainville's beaked whale)
Lineage: Eukaryota; Metazoa; Chordata; Mammalia; Artiodactyla; Ziphiidae
Exons: 3
Source: RefSeq, a predicted model, not a curated record